This 666-nucleotide ribosomal RNA is filed under the name Burkholderia territorii. RNAcentral's name for it is "bacterial SSU rRNA". It matches the Rfam family "Bacterial small subunit ribosomal RNA", at positions 60 to 719 of the family's 1533-position model. Lineage: Bacteria; Pseudomonadati; Pseudomonadota; Betaproteobacteria; Burkholderiales; Burkholderiaceae. The record is from RNAcentral.
AGUCGAACGGCAGCACGGGUGCUUGCACCUGGUGGCGAGUGGCGAACGGGUGAGUAAUACAUCGGAACAUGUCCUGUAGUGGGGGAUAGCCCGGCGAAAGCCGGAUUAAUACCGCAUACGAUCCACGGAUGAAAGCGGGGGACCUUCGGGCCUCGCGCUAUAGGGUUGGCCGAUGGCUGAUUAGCUAGUUGGUGGGGUAAAGGCCUACCAAGGCGACGAUCAGUAGCUGGUCUGAGAGGACGACCAGCCACACUGGGACUGAGACACGGCCCAGACUCCUACGGGAGGCAGCAGUGGGGAAUUUUGGACAAUGGGCGAAAGCCUGAUCCAGCAAUGCCGCGUGUGUGAAGAAGGCCUUCGGGUUGUAAAGCACUUUUGUCCGGAAAGAAAUCCUUGGCUCUAAUACGGUCGGGGGAUGACGGUACCGGAAGAAUAAGCACCGGCUAACUACGUGCCAGCAGCCGCGGUAAUACGUAGGGUGCAAGCGUUAAUCGGAAUUACUGGGCGUAAAGCGUGCGCAGGCGGUUUGCUAAGACCGAUGUGAAAUCCCCGGGCUCAACCUGGGAACUGCAUUGGUGACUGGCAGGCUAGAGUAUGGCAGAGGGGGGUAGAAUUCCACGUGUAGCAGUGAAAUGCGUAGAGAUGUGGAGGAAUACCGAUGGCGAA